AAUCCAUAGGUUAAUGAGGCGAACCGGGGGAACUGAAACAUCUAAGUACCCCGAGGAAAAGAAAUCAACCGAGAUUCCCCCAGUAGCGGCGAGCGAACGGGGAGGAGCCCAGAGCCUGAAUCAGCAUGUGUGUUAGUGGAAGCGUCUGGAAAGGCGCGCGAUACAGGGUGACAGCCCCGUACACAAAAGCGCAUGUGCUGUGAGCUCGAUGAGUAGGGCGGGACACGUGGUAUCCUGUCUGAAUAUGGGGGGACCAUCCUCCAAGGCUAAAUACUCCUGACUGACCGAUAGUGAACCAGUACCGUGAGGGAAAGGCGAAAAGAACCCCGGCGAGGGGAGUGAAAAAGAACCUGAAACCGUGUACGUACAAGCAGUGGGAGCACAGGUUUACCUGUGUGACUGCGUACCUUUUGUAUAAUGGGUCAGCGACUUAUAUUCUGUAGCAAGGUUAACCGAAUAGGGGAGCCGGAGGGAAACCGAGUCUUAAUUGGGCGUUAAGUUGCAGGGUAUAGACCCGAAACCCGGUGAUCUAGCCAUGGGCAGGUUGAAGGUUGGGUAACACUAACUGGAGGACCGAACCGACUAAUGUUGAAAAAUUAGCGGAUGACCUGUGGCUGGGGGUGAAAGGCCAAUCAAACCGGGAGAUAGCUGGUUCUCCCCGAAAGCUAUUUAGGUAGCGCCUCGUGAAUUCAUCUCCGGGGGUAGAGCACUGUUUCGGCUAGGGGGCCAUCCCGGCUUACCAACCCGAUGCAAACUGCGAAUACCGGAGAAUGUUAUCACGGGAGACACACGGCGGGUGCUAACGUCCGUCGUGAAGAGGGAAACAACCCAGACCGCCAGCUAAGGUCCCAAAGUCAUGGUUAAGUGGGAAACGAUGUGGGAAGGCCCAGACAGCCAGGAUGUUGGCUUAGAAGCAGCCAUCAUUUAAAGAAAGCGUAAUAGCUCACUGGUCGAGUCGGCCUGCGCGGAAGAUGUAACGGGGCUAAACCAUGCACCGAAGCUGCGGCAGCGACGCUUAUGCGUUGUUGGGUAGGGGAGCGUUCUGUAAGCCUGUGAAGGUGGCCUGUGAGGGUUGCUGGAGGUAUCAGAAGUGCGAAUGCUGACAUAAGUAACGAUAAAGCGGGUGAAAAGCCCGCUCGCCGGAAGACCAAGGGUUCCUGUCCAACGUUAAUCGGGGCAGGGUGAGUCGACCCCUAAGGCGAGGCCGAAAGGCGUAGUCGAUGGGAAACGGGUUAAUAUUCCCGUACUUGGUGUUACUGCGAAGGGGGGACGGAGAAGGCUAUGUUGGCCGGGCGACGGUUGUCCCGGUUUAAGCGUGUAGGUGUGUGUUCCAGGUAAAUCCGGUUCACUUUAACACUGAGGCGUGAUGACGAGGCACUACGGUGCUGAAGUAACAAAUGCCCUGCUUCCAGGAAAAGCCUCUAAGCAUCAGGUAACAUCAAAUCGUACCCCAAACCGACACAGGUGGUCAGGUAGAGAAUACCAAGGCGCUUGAGAGAACUCGGGUGAAGGAACUAGGCAAAAUGGUGCCGUAACUUCGGGAGAAGGCACGCUGACACGUAGGUGAAGUGAUUUACUCACGGAGCUGAAGUCAGUCGAAGAUACCAG
Molecule: ribosomal RNA, 1608 nt
Filed under: Salmonella enterica
Lineage: Bacteria; Pseudomonadati; Pseudomonadota; Gammaproteobacteria; Enterobacterales; Enterobacteriaceae
Description: partial 23S ribosomal RNA
Rfam family: Bacterial large subunit ribosomal RNA
Source: RNAcentral